Molecule: transfer RNA, 74 nt
Filed under: Mormyrus rume
Lineage: Eukaryota; Metazoa; Chordata; Actinopteri; Osteoglossiformes; Mormyridae
Description: tRNA-Lys
Source: RNAcentral
CACUAAGAAGCUAAAUAAGGACCAGCGUUAGCCUUUUAAGCUAAAGAUUGGUGACUACCGACCACCCCUAGUGA